RNAcentral lists this ribosomal RNA (425 nucleotides) under uncultured bacterium. Its description in RNAcentral is "bacterial SSU rRNA". It matches the Rfam family "Bacterial small subunit ribosomal RNA", at positions 354 to 796 of the family's 1533-position model. The record is from RNAcentral.
GUGGGGAAUAUUGGACAAUGGGCGCAAGCCUGAUCCAGCCAUGCCGCGUGAGUGAUGAAGGCCUUAGGGUUGUAAAGCUCUUUUGUCCGGGAAGAUAAUGACUGUACCGGAAGAAUAAGCCCCGGCUAACUUCGUGCCAGCAGCCGCGGUAAUACGAAGGGGGCUAGCGUUGCUCGGAAUCACUGGGCGUAAAGGGCGCGUAGGCGGACUCUUAAGUCGGGGGUGAAAGCCCAGGGCUCAACCCUGGAAUUGCCUUCGAUACUGAGAGUCUUGAGUUCGGAAGAGGUUGGUGGAACUGCGAGUGUAGAGGUGAAAUUCGUAGAUAUUCGCAAGAACACCAGUGGCGAAGGCGGCCAACUGGUCCGAUACUGACGCUGAGGCGCGAAAGCGUGGGGAGCAAACAGGAUUAGAAACCCCAGUAGUCC